UACGUAGGGGGCAAGCGUUGUCCGGAUUUACUGGGCGUAAAGAGCGCGUAGGCGGACGUUUAAGUGUGGCCUGAAAGCCCCCGGCUCAACCGGGGAUCCGGGUUGCAAACUGGACGUCUUGAGGGGGAUUGGGGAAGGUAGAAUUCCUGGUGUAGCGGUGAAAUGCGUAGAGAUCAGGAGGAAUACCCGUGGCGAAGGCGGCUCUCUGGGACGGUACUGACGCUGAGACGCGAAAGCGUGGGGAGCGAACAGC
This 253-nucleotide ribosomal RNA is filed under the name uncultured bacterium. RNAcentral describes it as "partial 16S ribosomal RNA". It matches the Rfam family "Bacterial small subunit ribosomal RNA", at positions 524 to 776 of the family's 1533-position model. The record is from RNAcentral.